RNAcentral lists this ribosomal RNA (366 nucleotides) under uncultured bacterium. Its description in RNAcentral is "bacterial SSU rRNA". It matches the Rfam family "Bacterial small subunit ribosomal RNA", at positions 362 to 759 of the family's 1533-position model. The record is from RNAcentral.
UAUUGGACAAUGGGGGCAACCCUGAUCCAGCAAUGCCGCGUGAGUGAUGAAGGCCUUAGGGUUGUAAAGCUCUUUUGGCGGGGACGAUGAUGACGGUACCCGCAGAAUAAGCCCCGGCUAACUUCGUGCCAGCAGCCGCGGUAAUACGAAGGGGGCAAGCGUUGUUCGGAAUUACUGGGCGUAAAGGGCGCGUAGGCGGCUUAUCAAGUCAGGCGUGAAAUUCCCGGGCUCAACCUGGGGGCUGCGCUUGAUACUGGUUGGCUUAAUACGGGAGAGGAUAGUGAAUUCCCAGUGAGAGGUAAAUUCGAGUAUUGGAAGACACCAGUGGCAAGGCGGCAUCUGGCCCGUUUAGCGUGGGCAAAUAAA